Molecule: long non-coding RNA, 1230 nt
Filed under: Cairina moschata (Muscovy duck)
Lineage: Eukaryota; Metazoa; Chordata; Aves; Anseriformes; Anatidae
Description: domestica (muscovy Duck (domestic type)) lncRNA (ENSCMMG00000011335.1)
Source: RNAcentral
GACUUCCUGUGAAGCUUCGAGGAAACAUUUCUGAAUAUUAGAGGUAAAGGAGAGGAGAGUAAAGGCUGGGGGAGGGAGGCAGGACAGUUUUAGAGCUUAAGUGGAUUACAUAGCUCCAUAACCCAGUUAUGGGUCCAUGGACUCGAGUGAGCUGUUUUUUCCCCUCCUCUGGCUGUCUGCCUGUCAGAUCGCUCCCCUGACAGGCAGGCGUUAUUAGCCUCCCCCAGCUGCCUCUCUCAGCAUUUCUUCUUUCCCAGUGCUCACAUCCCCUGGCUGCUCGCCUCAGCCCUUCUGGUACCUCCAGGUUCCCCGGGGUCCUUCCUGCAGCUGCACGGGCUGCCCGCACCCACCGAGGUCUCCUUCUACCAGUGCAGGUGGCAGGUCUCUGAUCCCUGUCUCUAAAAGGUUAUCCACUUCUGACUCUCUGAUUUUAGAUAGCGAAGAGGGAUAGAUUAAAAACUGAUGAGCACCUGAGCUCCGUGGCGAUAAAGGUGGUGUGAGGGAGCAGCGACGGCUUGGCACAUCCAGAUCCAUUCAUAUUUCCGCGCCGUGCAAAAAACGUUGGGUGAGCACGAGUUAAGCACCAGCCUGGUUGUUAAGCCUUGAAAUUUCCCCUCAAGACUGAGGUGUGAGCCUGACAUCUGCUGGGGACUGCACCACUGCUGCAGAAAAAGCCAGGCUGUCCUUUCUCAAAGCUCCUCGGCCCUCGGGAGGGCUGGUGGCUGGGGCAGCGCAGAGGGGCAGAACGGGGCUGCACCUCCAGGCUUUGGUUUUGCUGACAGCUGGAUAUUUUCCCAAACCCUGCGCUCGUGCUGGGGGACCUGGCGUGGUGGGGUUUUCAGCCUGGCCACCUGGAAGUGCUGAGGGAAGACUACAGGGAAGAGAACAAACAGUGACCAAUCUUUGCUAAACACAUCUUCCCAGCUCCCAGCUGUUAGCAGGUAAGGAAAUUGAAAUGUGGCAGAUAGACUAUAAAGUUGCGUCCUCAUCAGUGGUAAACCUGUCUAUUCUCUUUCUGGAUCCAUUUCAAUCCCUGCCCUGCAUUACUUCAUAUAACAAGAAGCUAUACAUUUAUUUAAGCACUAUCUGAAAGAACUACUUUUAUCUAAACCUGACAAUUCCAGUGAUUCUUUAUCUGGUGAACAAUAACUCAUUGUUCUUUAAGUGCCCCUGGCUUGUAGGAUUUGUUGAUAGUCAUGUCUGAUUAUCUAUACAAUGACUUCAACCAUA